CAGUCGCCGCGGUAAUACGAAGGGGGCUAGCGUUGCUCGGAAUCACUGGGCGUAAAGGGUGCGUAGGCGGGUUUUUAAGUCAGAGGUGAAAUCCUGGAGCUCAACUCCAGAACUGCCUUUGAUACUGAAAGUCUUGAGUAUGGGAGAGGUGAGUGGAACUGCGAGUGUAGAGGUGAAAUUCGUAGAUAUUCGCAAGAACACCAGUGGCGAAGGCGGCUCACUGGCCCAUAACUGACGCUGAGGCACGAAAGCGUGGGGAGCAAACAGGAUUAGAUACCCCCGUAGUCCCUGUCUCUUAUAC
RNAcentral lists this ribosomal RNA (301 nucleotides) under uncultured bacterium. Its description in RNAcentral is "partial 16S ribosomal RNA". It matches the Rfam family "Bacterial small subunit ribosomal RNA", at positions 509 to 807 of the family's 1533-position model. The record is from RNAcentral.